RNAcentral lists this ribosomal RNA (2520 nucleotides) under Triticum aestivum (bread wheat). RNAcentral describes it as "partial small subunit ribosomal RNA". Lineage: Eukaryota; Viridiplantae; Streptophyta; Magnoliopsida; Poales; Poaceae. The record is from RNAcentral.
AUGCUUCAUGCUAGUGUGACUUCCCCAUGCGAUGAUUUACCCAUUUAUGAUGAGUUUGAUGAUUGCCAUGCGGAGUCUAGUAGUUGUGAUGCCAUGUUACAUAGAAUUUCUUGUGAUAAUUCUCUUGGUCACAUCAUGUUUCAUAAUCCACUUGGCUUGUCAUAUGCUAUGCAUGAGAUCAAUCAUAUGUCUUAUUUGCAAUCUCUUCAUAGUGACUAUGCAUAUGCCAUCAACAUAAACCCAAUUUGCACAUAUGGCAUAGAUGACAAGCCCAUGGUUAUUGGCAUUUGUUUUUCUUGUGACGACAUUGAUAUGCUUCCUUUGCAUCAUUUAUCUCAUAUGCCAUGCCAUGACCACCUAGCUUUGGAUAUGCAUUGUUUUGGUUGUUGUCAAUAUUCUCAAUGUGAUGUUUCCACUAUUGCUCACGAGGAGACCCCCAUAGUUUCCUCAUACAUUUUAGGAGAUUUUGAUUCAUCCUAUCCAUUGCAUGAUCCCAAUACUUUUGUGCACAAUAUGCUUCCCAUGAAUAAACAUGCUAUUGAUGUGCCAUAUACUUCUAUGCUAAAUUUGCAUCCCCAUCGUGUCAUACACAAUAACUAUUCUUUCAUGAUGGAUGACAUGUUCUUAUACCAUGCAUCAAAUUUCUUUGAGCGAUGCUAUUCUUGUGCUAACUCACAUGUGCACAUACACGUCAUGAUGGAUGAUGUGUACAUUUACCACGCGCACAAUUUCUUUGGUUUGUGUUUAUUUUGUGUAGGUACACAUGAAUACUUGUCAACCUCGCAAUUCCACGAGUUGACAAAACGAGCUCUAGAGAGCAACGAUGGCUUUGGAUCCCUUGGAGUGUCUUUCCCACCGCUUUCUUCGCGCAAGGACUUUCCACAUUUCUUCUACAUGGCUCUCACAUGGUUAUGGGUUAUUUACCACUUCUCACUAUAUGCCCAUCUUGCCAUGUUCACUUUGCAUGAUAUGCUCAUUCCUAUGCCUUUGCCAUGCAUUUGUGAACCAUGCUUUGCAUUACACAUGAUGAUUGAUCCUACUACUUGUAUGUGUAUUUGCAAGCUUGGUGGAGAUAUUGCUUGUUAUUGCCAUGUUUGCUAUGUGCCCCAUGCCUACAAUGACACUAUGAUCUUGCUUUGUGUUCGUGCUCGCGAUAUGUCAUGUGCAUUGCCUAUAUCUCUUAUUUGCUCACAUGACAUGAUUGCCAUGAUUUACUCUAGUGUGUUGCAUCUUCGCUCCACUAGUUUGCACGGCUUGAUUUCUAUGCUUGCUCAUGUUGCAUCCAAUUCUUGGAUUACUUGCUCCUAUCUUAUGUUUGGUUGCAACAUUGACAUUACUUCACAUAUGCCAUGUCCCAUUGCUUGUCACAUGAUUGAUUUGAUUGCCUCACACAUGAUGAACAAUUGCUAUAUCAUUUGUGUUGAGUGCCACACUUUCUUCACUACACCAUAUGCACAUUAUGCUUGGAUUGUCUUGCACUUGCAUGUGUUUAGACAUAUCAUUUUCUUUGGUGUUGUGGAUGAUUCUUAUGCAUACCAUAGACCAUUUAUCGAGCACUUUAUGCAUGUUUGCUAUGAUCUUGAGGUCGAUGUUUGCUAUCUUGUCAAACAUAUUUGCAUCGCUACCUCACAUUUCCAUGCUUGUUUCCAUGAUGUCCUUGAUUGUGCUAAGUUUAUGUGCUUACAUGCCAUGCCACACUCCCUUGUCACACCAUAUGCUAUGCUUGAUGACAACACUUGUUUGGUUACUCACCUCUUGAAUGCUUGGUUUUGCUCUAAUGCUAACCGCAUUUGUUUUUCCAAGUGUUUGUUCUACUCGUUCCUUUUGAAGGAAUCACAAGACGGUGCGACAUUGGAGAGUGACCAUUUCGAGCUUCAAUAUGACAAGUGCUUGGUGGUUGUCCACUUCUACACGAAAACGCCUUCUCUUCCCCAUGGUGAUGAAGAUCACGAUCCGUGGACGGAUCUCUCCCAAGGGGGGGAAGAUGAUGCGGAGCAUCCCUCGACCAUCCCCAUGGAUGUCACACCGCCACCGCAAGCAUGGAGAGGACCUACGACGAGAGCUCACGCACGCGACAUCGGAACCGAGGUGAACUCUUUCCUCUUUGAGUUUCAUUCGGAUUCACACGAGAGUCGGGUUCUACCUCAAAUGGAUACAUUAUGCACUCGUAGGUACCAAGGAGAAGAUCGUGAAGAGGCAAGGACGGAGACACAAGCAACUAUGGAGGAGAAGAACGAGGAGAACCGGAGUCCCCUGGACACACCGGGUGCCCGCCCCCCACAGCCCCGGGUGCCCGGCCCCUCCACCUGGGCGCACCUCGGGUGCCCGGCCUCCCAGCCCCGAGUGCCCGGCCCUCCUCCUCCCAGGCGACGCCCCGGGUUCCCGGGCUCUCAAACCCCGGGUGCCCGGCCCCUGCCCCAGCCGCCAGCCACCGCACCCCGGGUGCCCGGGCCCUUGGCCCCGGGUGCCCGGGCCACCUCCCGUGCAGGCCCAGUACGCCCCCGGGUGCCCGGGCUUUGA